This 465-nucleotide ribosomal RNA is filed under the name Vreelandella stevensii. RNAcentral's name for it is "partial 16S ribosomal RNA". It matches the Rfam family "Bacterial small subunit ribosomal RNA", at positions 338 to 795 of the family's 1533-position model. Lineage: Bacteria; Pseudomonadati; Pseudomonadota; Gammaproteobacteria; Oceanospirillales; Halomonadaceae. The record is from RNAcentral.
CCUACGGGGGGCUGCAGUGGGGAAUAUUGGACAAUGGGCGAAAGCCUGAUCCAGCCAUGCCGCGUGUGUGAAGAAGGCCUUCGGGUUGUAAAGCACUUUCAGUGGGGAAGAAAGCCUUGGGGCUAAUACCCUCGAGGAAGGACAUCACCCACAGAAGAAGCACCGGCUAACUCCGUGCCAGCAGCCGCGGUAAUACGGAGGGUGCGAGCGUUAAUCGGAAUUACUGGGCGUAAAGCGGGCGUAGGCGGUCUGAUAAGCCGGUUGUGAAAGCCCCGGGCUCAACCUGGGAACGGCAUCCGGAACUGUCAGGCUAGAGUGCAGGAGAGGAAGGUAGAAUUCCCGGUGUAGCGGUGAAAUGCGUAGAGAUCGGGAGGAAUACCAGUGGCGAAGGCGGCCUUCUGGACUGACACUGACGCUGAGGUGCGAAAGCGUGGGUAGCAAACAGGAUUAGAUACCCCUGUAGUC